This is a long non-coding RNA of Siniperca chuatsi (mandarin fish), 638 nucleotides long. RefSeq lists it as uncharacterized. The record is from RefSeq and is a predicted model, not a curated record. Lineage: Eukaryota; Metazoa; Chordata; Actinopteri; Centrarchiformes; Sinipercidae. The transcript is spliced from 4 exons.
CCCUGGUUUCCACUUGGCGCUGUGUCGGCCGCCGUCUGUCCGUCUGUACGGCUGAUUCCUUAAACCUGAGGUGGAGGACAAACGGCAAACACACGGAGGAAACUACCUGAGUCAAGACUGGUAAUGUUUGUCAGUUAGAAAAUACAACAUCAGAAGAGCGGAAGAGAAACACAGACCCACAGAGCAUCGAGGGAUUUUAAGAAGUCACCUCGUCGCUGAAGACGGAGUCGCAGAAGAGACGAGAGGAGCGUUUGGCAGAACGAGCCGUGAAGGGCACGGACUUUAGAGCUGAAGACACCAGGGACGGGAAGAGAGAGAGAGACAAGCAAGGACAAAUCAAAGUGAGGGUGUUGUGUACCUGUGAUGAUGUCCUCGAUGGCUCCGUCCUUCCCCUCCCUCACCAGAGGAGACACCUGCCUCUUCUUCAGCUCUGCUAUCAGAUCCAUCUGUGGCAGUUUGGACGUCACUGGAACCUGAAACAUCAAACGUGUCGAUGUCAAACAGAACCUCCUCCCCGUGAACUCACAGGCUGUAUUAGCGGGACGCUCUCGGGGAAAUUGCCCAUGAAGGUGAGAGUGCUGAUACGCUGGGAAAGCCGUGGGAUCUUGCUGAAGCGCACCAUGAAGCGGUCCUCCUCG